This 451-nucleotide ribosomal RNA is filed under the name uncultured bacterium. RNAcentral's name for it is "partial 16S ribosomal RNA". It matches the Rfam family "Bacterial small subunit ribosomal RNA", at positions 29 to 523 of the family's 1533-position model. The record is from RNAcentral.
AACGAACGCUGGCGGCAGGCCUAACACAUGCAAGUCGAACGGUUGUAGCAAUACAGCCGUGGCGCACGGGUGAGUAACGCGUGGGAAUCUGCCCUGUAGUACGGAAUAACAGCGGGAAACUGCUGACAAAACCGUAUACGCCCUCCGGGGGAAAAAUUUAUUGCUAUAGGAUGAGCCCGCGUAAGAUUAGGUAGUUGGUGGGGUAAUGGCCUACCAAGCCUACGAUCUUUAGCUGGUCUGAGAGGAUGAUCAGCCACACUGGAACUGAGACACGGUCCAGACUCUUACGGGAGGCAGCAGUGGGGAAUAUUGGACAAUGGGCGAAAGCCUGAUCCAGCCAUGCCGCGUGAGUGAUGAAGGCCCUAGGGUUGUAAAGCUCUUUCGCCGGGGAAGAUAAUGACGGUACCCGGAUAAGAAGACACGGCUAACUUCGUGCCAGCCGCCGCCGUAA